AUUGAACGCUGGCGGCAUGCUUUACACAUGCAAGUCGAACGGCAGCGCGGGCUUCGGCCUGGCGGCUAGUGGCGCACGGGUGAGUAAUGCAUCUGAACGUGCCCAGUUGUGGGGGAUAGCCCGGCGAAAGCCGGAUUAAUACCGCAUACUACCUGAGGGUGAAAGCGGGGGACCGAAAGGCCUCGCGCUAUUGGGGCGGCCGAUGUCGGGUUAGCUAGUUGGUGGGGUAAAGGCUUACCAAGGCGACGAUCCGUAGCUGGUCUGAGAGGACGACCAGCCACCCGGGGACUGGAACACGGCCCAGACGACUAAGAGAGGCAGCAGUGGGGAAUGUUGGACAAUGGGGGCAAACCUGAUCCAGCCAUGCCGCGUGCGGGAAGAAGGCCUUCGGGUUGUAAACCGCUUUUGUUCGGGAAGAAAUGCUCUGGGCUAAUACCACGGGGGGAUGACGGUACCGGAAGAAGAAGCACCGGCUAACUACGUG
RNAcentral lists this ribosomal RNA (484 nucleotides) under uncultured bacterium. RNAcentral's name for it is "partial 16S ribosomal RNA". It matches the Rfam family "Bacterial small subunit ribosomal RNA", at positions 28 to 507 of the family's 1533-position model. The record is from RNAcentral.